This 1572-nucleotide ribosomal RNA is filed under the name Escherichia coli. RNAcentral describes it as "partial 23S ribosomal RNA". It matches the Rfam family "Bacterial large subunit ribosomal RNA", at positions 1291 to 2843 of the family's 2925-position model. The record is from RNAcentral. Lineage: Bacteria; Pseudomonadati; Pseudomonadota; Gammaproteobacteria; Enterobacterales; Enterobacteriaceae.
CGAAUGCUGACAUAAGUAACGAUAAAGCGGGUGAAAAGCCCGCUCGCCGGAAGACCAAGGGUUCCUGUCCAACGUUAAUCGGGGCAGGGUGAGUCGACCCCUAAGGCGAGGCCGAAAGGCGUAGUCGAUGGGAAACAGGUUAAUAUUCCUGUACUUGGUGUUACUGCGAAGGGGGGACGGAGAAGGCUAUGUUGGCCGGGCGACGGUUGUCCCGGUUUAAGCGUGUAGGCUGGUUUUCCAGGCAAAUCCGGAAAAUCAAGGCUGAGGCGUGAUGACGAGGCACUACGGUGCUGAAGCAACAAAUGCCCUGCUUCCAGGAAAAGCCUCUAAGCAUCAGGUAACAUCAAAUCGUACCCCAAACCGACACAGGUGGUCAGGUAGAGAAUACCAAGGCGCUUGAGAGAACUCGGGUGAAGGAACUAGGCAAAAUGGUGCCGUAACUUCGGGAGAAGGCACGCUGAUAUGUAGGUGAAGUCCCUCGCGGAUGGAGCUGAAAUCAGUCGAAGAUACCAGCUGGCUGCAACUGUUUAUUAAAAACACAGCACUGUGCAAACACGAAAGUGGACGUAUACGGUGUGACGCCUGCCCGGUGCCGGAAGGUUAAUUGAUGGGGUCAGCGCAAGCGAAGCUCUUGAUCGAAGCCCCGGUAAACGGCGGCCGUAACUAUAACGGUCCUAAGGUAGCGAAAUUCCUUGUCGGGUAAGUUCCGACCUGCACGAAUGGCGUAAUGAUGGCCAGGCUGUCUCCACCCGAGACUCAGUGAAAUUGAACUCGCUGUGAAGAUGCAGUGUACCCGCGGCAAGACGGAAAGACCCCGUGAACCUUUACUAUAGCUUGACACUGAACAUUGAGCCUUGAUGUGUAGGAUAGGUGGGAGGCUUUGAAGUGUGGACGCCAGUCUGCAUGGAGCCGACCUUGAAAUACCACCCUUUAAUGUUUGAUGUUCUAACGUGGACCCGUGAUCCGGGUUGCGGACAGUGUCUGGUGGGUAGUUUGACUGGGGCGGUCUCCUCCUAAAGAGUAACGGAGGAGCACGAAGGUUGGCUAAUCCUGGUCGGACAUCAGGAGGUUAGUGCAAUGGCAUAAGCCAGCUUGACUGCGAGCGUGACGGCGCGAGCAGGUGCGAAAGCAGGUCAUAGUGAUCCGGUGGUUCUGAAUGGAAGGGCCAUCGCUCAACGGAUAAAAGGUACUCCGGGGAUAACAGGCUGAUACCGCCCAAGAGUUCAUAUCGACGGCGGUGUUUGGCACCUCGAUGUCGGCUCAUCACAUCCUGGGGCUGAAGUAGGUCCCAAGGGUAUGGCUGUUCGCCAUUUAAAGUGGUACGCGAGCUGGGUUUAGAACGUCGUGAGACAGUUCGGUCCCUAUCUGCCGUGGGCGCUGGAGAACUGAGGGGGGCUGCUCCUAGUACGAGAGGACCGGAGUGGACGCAUCACUGGUGUUCGGGUUGUCAUGCCAAUGGCACUGCCCGGUAGCUAAAUGCGGAAGAGAUAAGUGCUGAAAGCAUCUAAGCACGAAACUUGCCCCGAGAUGAGUUCUCCCUGACCCUUUAAGGGUCCUGAAGGAACGUUGAAG